AAUGCAGUUAAACUAAACUUAGGCCUACAAUUAUUGAUUCAAAUGUCUGCAAAGUGGAAUUGAGUUUAUCGGUUCUGAAAUUGGUGUGAGGAAUCUAAAUCGGAGGCUGCAAUGAUUAUUAGAGAUAAUGUUAUUCCUUCAGUUAGGCUUAGAAUAGUACUAAAUGAUUUUUGGUGUGUGAUUAUUGAAUCAAAGACAACGGCGUAAACAAAUGGAGGCUGUCGAGGACCGGGAAAUGUUCAAAUCAUGUUUAUGCAAACUGAUUGAAUGUAAACAAGCUGGAAUUGUUUACUUACGGGAACUGCUGGGGCGAUAUAGACACAACGGGGCAAUUGUGUAAUGUGUCCUGAUGAUUCUGAAUGUCCGAACUUCAGUACUUGUUGUCAACUUCCUGAUGGAAAGUAUGGUUGUUGCGGACAUCCAUCUGCCGUAUGUUGUUCAGACCAUUUGCAUUGCUGUCCUCACGGCUUUGUCUGCAAUUUGAAGAGUAGCAAAUGUAUCGGCAGGCAAGAUACCGGGAGUGAACCUUUGACGAAAAUGACGAUUGACGAUCGCUCAUACAAUAAUGAGAUUUCUGCUGGAUUGGAUGAAAUGUAAACUAUAAACCUAUGCAUUUACAAUAGUCUUGUGAUUUUCAUAUUUUUUCCAGUAUAAUAGUAUGAAAUAUUGCUACUAAGGUCCGUUGAUUAAUUUUUAGGGGACGUUAUCUUACAAUUUAAUUUUAUUUUCUAUAAUAUCAAUAAUAUGAUCUCGUUGAAGCCAACUAGCCUUGAACCUAGACUUGAAUUUUUUUUUCAAGCUAGGUCGCAUUUCAAAAUGUCGAGCCCUUUAAAAUCCAUUUCACGUUCUAAUAUUCUAUUUCUAACGUCUUUUAGAAUAUAACAGUUUGAAUACAGAUUUGCAUAACUUUUCAAAUUUCAUUCCUACCUUUAAAGUUCAAAAGAUUUUGCUCAGCAUUAUUAGAUUUACGGUGAUAGCAAUUGUUUUCAUUGAUUGAAAUAUUUGUGUUAAUAUCGUAGUGACAUUUAGGUUGACAAAUA
Molecule: non-coding RNA, 1040 nt
Organism: Styela clava
Lineage: Eukaryota; Metazoa; Chordata; Ascidiacea; Stolidobranchia; Styelidae
Source: RefSeq, a predicted model, not a curated record